RNAcentral lists this ribosomal RNA (286 nucleotides) under uncultured bacterium. RNAcentral's name for it is "partial 16S ribosomal RNA". It matches the Rfam family "Bacterial small subunit ribosomal RNA", at positions 773 to 1060 of the family's 1533-position model. The record is from RNAcentral.
GUGGAUUAGAUACCCUGGUAGUCCACACCGUAAACGUUGGGCACUAGGUGUGGGGAGGAUCAACCCUUUCCGUGCCGUAGCUAACGCAUUAAGUGCCCCGCCUGGGGAGUACGGCCGCAAGGCUAAAACUCAAAGGAAUUGACGGGGGCCCGCACAAGCGGCGGAGCAUGUUGCUUAAUUCGAGGCAACGCGAAGAACCUUACCUAGGUUGAACUACGCAGGAACAGCCACAGAGAUGUGGUGUCCUUCGGGGCCUGCGAUAGGUGGUGCACGGUCGUCGUCAGCU